UGGAGCCUAUUUAAGAUGCUAAGCAUUUCUUCCAGAACAUUUCCACUCAGUUAUGAAUGCCUCCUCCCUCCCUCUCUGGAAAUGCUGUGAUAUCCUUAUUCAGAAAUACUGGAUGGAUGGAAUGAGAGAGAAAAAAAAAAGAAAAGAAAACCAGCACUUGGCAGUUUUACAUUUCCCCUCCAUACUUCUAAAUGCACAACGGAUCCGGGGAAUGACGCAAAUGUAAAUGUGGCUAUAAAAAGUUACAAUUAUGAA
Molecule: long non-coding RNA, 255 nt
Organism: Ornithorhynchus anatinus (platypus)
Lineage: Eukaryota; Metazoa; Chordata; Mammalia; Monotremata; Ornithorhynchidae
Exons: 2
Source: RefSeq, a predicted model, not a curated record